GCCAACGUUCAUCAUAUCACGUUGAAUACACCAGUUCUCGUCCGAUCACUGAAGUUAAGCAACGUUGAGCGUGGAUAGUACUUGGAUGGGUGACCGCUUGGGAACACCACGUAACGUUGGCG
This 122-nucleotide ribosomal RNA is filed under the name Diaphorina citri (Asian citrus psyllid). The record is from RNAcentral. Lineage: Eukaryota; Metazoa; Arthropoda; Insecta; Hemiptera; Psyllidae.